GAGCUUCCGGUGACCUGUGGUAAUGCUCGGGGGACUCUGUAUGUGGAGAAAUUUGCGCAAGGCAUCUAUGAGAAGAGUAUACUGACUGAGAACGGAGAGUGGCUAACUCUCAGGGAGUUUGAAAUCAGAGGAAACCGUGAAAGAUCCAGGAGCUGGAGGCAAAGCAUAUAUUGUCAAGGAUGGAACCUGGGAUGUUUAAUAAAGGGAGGACUUCUACCAGACUCACCUAGGACAAGGGGACAGAGGGAAAACCGAACAAGCCCAGAGUGAACAAAGAAAAACGUAACUGCCCCAUGAUCAUCUGCCAUGAUGUCAGAGGCCAUUAACAACAAAUUAUUAGUUGUUCAUCUCUGCCAUGUUAUAGUUCUU
Long non-coding RNA from Microtus oregoni (creeping vole), 369 nucleotides. RefSeq lists it as uncharacterized. The record is from RefSeq and is a predicted model, not a curated record. The transcript has 4 exons. NCBI's taxonomy places the organism in Eukaryota, Metazoa, Chordata, Mammalia, Rodentia, Cricetidae.